GAUGAACGCUGGCGGCGUGCCUAAUACAUGCAAGUCGAGCGAACAGAUGAGGAGCUUGCUCCUCUGACGUUAGCGGCGGACGGGUGAGUAACACGUGGAUAACCUACCUAUAAGACUGGGAUAACUUCGGGAAACCGGAGCUAAUACCGGAUAAUAUAUUGAACCGCAUGGUUCAAUAGUGAAAGACGGUUUUGCUGUCACUUAUAGAUGGAUCCGCGCCUCAUUAGCUAGUUGGUAAGGUAACGGCUUACCAAGGCAACGAUGCGUAGUCGACCUGAGAGGGUGAUCGGCCACACUGGAACUGAGACACGGUCCAGACUCCUACGGGAGGCAGCAGUAGGGAAUCUUCCGCAAUGGGCGAAAGCCUGACGGAGCAACGCCGCGUGAGUGAUGAAGGUCUUCGGAUCGUAAAACUCUGUUAUUAGGGAAGAACAAAUGUGUAAGUAACUAUGCACGUCUUGACGGUACCUAAUCAGAAAGCCACGGCUAACUACGUG
Molecule: ribosomal RNA, 497 nt
Filed under: uncultured bacterium
Lineage: Bacteria
Description: partial 16S ribosomal RNA
Rfam family: Bacterial small subunit ribosomal RNA
Source: RNAcentral